UACGGUGGGGGCUAGCGUUGUUCGGAAUUACUGGGCGUAACGCGCGUAGGCGGCUUUGUAAGUUAGAGGUGAAAGCCCAGAGCUCAACUCUGGAAUUGCCUUUAAGACUGCAUCGCUAGAAUCGUGGAGAGGUGAGUGGAAUUCCGAGUGUAGAGGUGAAAUUCGUAGAUAUUCGGAAGAACACCAGUGGCGAAGGCGACUCACUGGACACGUAUUGACGCUGAGGUGCGAAAGCGUGGGGAGCAAACAGG
Molecule: unclassified non-coding RNA, 251 nt
Filed under: uncultured Sphingomonadaceae bacterium
Lineage: Bacteria; Pseudomonadati; Pseudomonadota; Alphaproteobacteria; Sphingomonadales; Sphingomonadaceae
Description: contains 16S-23S intergenic spacer region
Rfam family: Bacterial small subunit ribosomal RNA
Source: RNAcentral